Molecule: ribosomal RNA, 253 nt
Filed under: uncultured bacterium
Lineage: Bacteria
Description: partial 16S ribosomal RNA
Rfam family: Bacterial small subunit ribosomal RNA
Source: RNAcentral
UACGAAGGGGGCUAGCGUUGCUCGGAAUCACUGGGCGUAAAGGGUGCGUAGGCGGGUCCUUAAGUCAGGGGUGAAAUCCUGGAGCUCAACUCCAGAACUGCCUUUGAUACUGAAGAUCUUGAGUUCGGGAGAGGUGAGUGGAACUGCGAGUGUAGAGGUGAAAUUCGUAGAUAUUCGCAAGAACACCAGUGGCGAAGGCGGCUCACUGGCCCGAUACCGACGCUGAGGCACGAAAGCGUGGGGAGCAAACAGG